ACGGUGCCAUCGCGUCGCCCAUGCCAUGCACCCACUCACGCUCUCCUCCACCGCGCUCCUCCGCCUAAUCAAGUCGCUCUCGCCGGCGGCGGGGCCGAGGGCCCACCUCGCGGCCGCGGAGAUCCACGGCCUCCUCUUCAAGGAAGGGCUCCUCCACGCCGGGGCGCACCUCCCCACGGCGCUGCUCUCGGCCUACGCCGCGCUGGGGAGGCCGCGGCACGCGCGGGACCUGUUCGACGAGAUGCCCGACCCGGGCCUCGUCUCCCGCACCGCCAUGGCGCGCGCGCACGCGGCGUCCGGGCAGGCCGCCCAGGCGCUCGCCGUGUUCCGGGACAUGAUCGCGGACGGCGUGCUCCCGGACAACGUGGCCCUGGCGGUCGCUCUGGCCGCGUGCCACACGACAGCCUCGCUCCCUGCAGCGGGGAUGGCGGCGGCAAGGAGACCUGGGAAGAUGGUCCAUGCCAUCAUCGUGACAAGCGGCAUUGUGCCGGAUGUGUUCGUCUCCACCGAGCUGAUCAGGGUCUACGGGGAGUACGGUGAGCUGGCGCUCUCCCGGAGGUUGUUUGAUGCGAUGCCGGUGAGGAGCACCGUUUCGUGGAACGCCAUGGUGCAUCAGUAUAUCAGGCAUAGUAAUGUUGGCGAUGCUUACGAGCUGUUCCUUGCAAUGCCAAGGAGGGAUGUAGUGUCAUGGAACACGAUGAUUGCCGGGUAUUCCCUUGUUGGUCGAUUUAUGGAGGCGCUAGAGUUGUCCCGCCAGAUGAUAUCGCCGUCGUCAUGUCCAGUGUAUCCAAAUGGACCUACAAUGAGCACUGUCCUUGCUGCUUGCGCAGGUGCCGGUUGUUUAGAGACUGGGAUUUGGGUCCAUGCCUUUGUUGACAGGAACCGCAUGAAUGAUGAUGGCUCAUUGGAUCGGUCCUUGAUAGACAUGUACGUCAAAUGUGGAAGCAUCGAAAAGGCACUUCAGGUGUUCGAGAAGGCACCUGAGGCGAGGGAUCUGUACUCAUGGACGACCAUGAUUUGUGGAUUGGCAAUGCACGGCAGGGCUGCUGAUGCUCUAAAAAUGUUUGGUAUGAUGCAAGACAAUGGCAUACACCCUGAUGAUGUUACUCUUGUUGGGGUCCUAAAUGCUUGUGCACACUGUGGACUUGUGGACGAAGGCCUUCGACACUUCUACUCCUUGGAGAAGUAUGCAAUCACACCCAAAAUUGAACACUAUGGAUGUGUCAUUGAUCUUCUUGGUCGUGUUGGGCGGCUGCAAGAAGCAUACAACAUUAUCAGGACCAUGCGCAUGAAGCCUAAUGCAGUAAUCUGGGGUGCAUUCUUGAACGCAUGCAAAGUUCACAGCAACGUGGAGCUUGGCGAGAUCGCAGCAGCUGAGCUCACCAGGUUAGAUCCAGGUGACCCCUGGGCAAAGGUGAUGCUGUCCAGCUUGUAUGCAAAAUUGCAGGACUGGAACAGUCUAGCCAGGGAGAGACGGGAGAUGAACAACCUGCAGAUAAAGAAAACACCAGGGUGCAGCUCAAUUGAGCUUGAUGGGGAGGUGCAUGAGUUUGUUGCUGGUGGUUUUCAACAUCCUCAACAUGGCGAAAUUUGCACUGUACUAGAGAACGUCGAAGCACAAACACAUACUGGCUAAAGAGAUGUGGAGGCCUCAUGCCCUCAUCAGCUGAGUUUUUUGUUCUAUCAAUGAAUGUUAGCAUGUAGUAGCAAGUUUCAUGGGCACUGGCAGAUUAACUGACCUUUGUGUGUUCCAUUAGCCUGUGAAGUUCGAAACUGGUCAUAUUGCUAAGAAUUCUAGGAGGUUACUAUUAGGGCCCAGAGUAAAUGACUACGUGCUGAUGAAAAUCUGUUCAGAUUAAUCAUUCUGGAACUUGUACUAACAAUUGAAGCAAGUGGAGGCAUAGCACCAAUUGUGUCUGUGCUGCAGCUCUGGAUGUCAGUAGACAAGAGGUGUAUCAGAGAGAAGCACUUCAAGGUUAAUUUGUUGAGCAAAUUGGAGAUGCUGGAUUUUGUAUUUUGGCAGGUGAUGUAUGCUUUUCAGCAUGCCGUGUUUUAUUGAACUCGUCAAGUCCUGCAGAAGCUGAAACUGAUCAUGUAUAAGACUUUGCCUUGUGUCACAAUGGGUGCAUUUGCUGGUGGUCCUUGGAUCAGGUUGCUCAUGAGUGGUGAAUGGUCUGACGACUUCAGAAGAGGAUAGAUCUGAGAUUACCUUUCAUGCAUGUUAAGGAAGUUAAGUAGUUGAUGCCUUCAAAUAAAUGGAGAAACGUCAGGUGAACCGCGAGCAGAAUUCUGUGGCGCAUUUGUUAGCGCAGUUAGCUAGGACUCUGUUCAUACAGCUGUUCGAUUAAGCCAAAUACCUAACUGUAUUGCCCAUCUAGUAGAACCUAACUGUAACUUGUCCUCUUAAUUAAUACUAGCAAUUAGCAAACAUGUCUGUACGUUGCGAUCGGAGAAAAAAAACUAUCAAAUAUUUAGGAGAACAAUGACACGAGUG
Molecule: RNA transcript, 2494 nt
Organism: Zea mays
Lineage: Eukaryota; Viridiplantae; Streptophyta; Magnoliopsida; Poales; Poaceae
Exons: 2
Source: RefSeq, marked validated